Molecule: unclassified non-coding RNA, 382 nt
Filed under: soil metagenome
Description: partial contains 5.8S ribosomal RNA, internal transcribed spacer 2, and large subunit ribosomal RNA
Rfam family: 5.8S ribosomal RNA (bases 1-120)
Source: RNAcentral
GAUGAAGAACGUAGUGAAAUGCGAUAAGUAAUGUGAAUUGCAGAAUUCAGUGAAUCAUCGAAUCUUUGAACGCACCUUGCACCCUUUGGUAUUCCGAAGGGUAUGCUCGUUUGAGUGUCAUUGUACUCUCACACUUCUGAUCCUUUGGAUUGGGAGCGGUGGACUUGGGUGUUGCUGCUUUACUGUGGCUCACCUCAAAUGCAUUCGUGCAACUCUUGGUUGGACAUAGUACGGCGUGAUAAGUAUCUUCGCCGGCACCUCGCAAGAGGGUGGCUGAUCAGGAGCUCUGUGCUUUCCAACUGUCUUCAGACAACAACUGACAACUUGACCUCAAAUCGAGUAGGACCACCCGCUGAACUUAAGCAUAUCAAUAAGCGGAGGA